This 424-nucleotide ribosomal RNA is filed under the name uncultured archaeon. Its description in RNAcentral is "bacterial SSU rRNA". It matches the Rfam family "Archaeal small subunit ribosomal RNA", at positions 322 to 747 of the family's 1478-position model. The record is from RNAcentral.
CCUACGGGAUGCAGCAGGCGCGAAACCUUUACAAUGCGCUAAUGCGUGAUAAGGGUACUCCAAGUGCUUAUGCUUUGCAUAGGCUUUUGCUAAGGGUGAAAACCUUGGCGAAUAAGUGGUGGGAAAGAUUGGUGCCAGCAGCCGCGGUAACCCCAGCGCCACAAGUGGUGAUCGGUUUUAUUGGGCCUAAAGCAUUCGUAGCUGGUUGAAACAGUUUCUUGUGAAAUCGGGAUGCUUAAUGUACCGGACUGCAGGAAAUACUAUUCAACUUGGGAUUGGGAGGAGCAAGAGGAAUUUUGGGGGAAGCGGUAAAAUGCUAUAAUCCCUAAAAGACCACCGAUGGUGAAGGCAUCUUGCUAGAACAAAUCCGACAGUCAGGAAUGAAAGCUAGGGGAGUAAAUGGGAUUAGAUACCCGCGUAGUCC